AGGAAUGAUGAAUUGAUUGACAUAUCCAAAAUUGAACCUUUGGCAGAAAAAUUAACUCAAACUUGCCAAAUUGGGGAAGCAGAAGGAGAGAAGGAUGGUGAUGAUCUGCUGCAUAAUGGUCUGCACUCUUUGUGAGUUGAUAUACCCUUUAUUUUGUUAUGCUAUGUGGAAUGGCUUGAACUUUAAGAAUUUAUGUAGAUUAUAUGGUCAGAAUUUUCAGUUCUAGUAUUGAUCAAUUGAUUUGUAUUUGUAAUACUGUAGUUCCAUUUGUAAUUUAUGAGUUCAGUUUAAAGUUUUAACCCAUGUUUUUGUUUCGUGCUCUGUUUUUUGUUUUUUGUUUCAUCUUUAAUCAUUGUAUCUCUUUUACAUAUGAUGUUAGGAUUCACUUUUUAACCAAGCAACAUAAGUUUAGACUACUUAGUUGGCUAAUCAUCAUAUUGUACCAUGCUCUUGGGCAUGAUUUUUGUUUCACUAGUUGCACAAUGUACCAAUCCUUCCCCCUUACCUUACGAUUAAAGAGAGAGUGUAGACUUGAUCUCUGUUAACCAAAAAAAAGGAAAAGAAAUCAUCACACCAAUGGUCUGUGAGAAUGUUGGUUGGUUCCCCUUCAUCUCAGUGGACAACUGUUACAUAUCACCGCCUAGCAGGGAAGAAACUCCAGUAUGGUUUAAAUAAUCUAAAUUUUGGGUUGUGGCAUGGUUUAAUAUGUACCUAUUUAUAUUUAUCUUCCUAUAUAUUAAUUAAGAAGCAUGAAACACCUUCAGAAUGAUAGACAGUUGUAGUUUCCCCUUAUUAAUUGGUCGGUUAUUCCGUUUAGUUUUCUGCUUUAAAUGGAGAAAACUUUGUGAUCUGCCUGAUCAAUAAGUUUGAGCAAUUGUGUUGUUUUUGUUAAUAUUGCAAUUACUGUAUCUUUAUCGGACUAUGAAUAUAAAGUUUGUGUGAGCUAUGAGAUUUUCUGAGUUUUUUUAUUUUUUAUUUUUAAUGGUGGGUGCCUACGUCAAUCUGAAGGAUAGCAGGAAGUUCAAGUUGGAAUCUGCAUACUAAAUAACUGUUACCUGCUAAGCAUAAACGAAGGAUACACAAUGUUCAUUUAUCUGUUUUUCUAAAUGUUUGAAAUAAUGCAUAGAAGAAAGAAAGUUAUUAUUUACAAAGAAAUACAUCCGGACAAAACAACAUCACGAAAAAUAGUCUUGUCCUCGGAGUAACCUACAACACAUGAUUUUCCUUGUAAACUACUUGUUUCUCAUUAAUAUGUAGCUGAGAUUUGGUGCUUGUGUGAGUUUUACAUAAAUGUUGCAAAAUUGAUAUCUUUAGCUUUUCAAGCCGAGGAAGAAUGGCGCGCCAGUGAAUUUUAGCCACUGGUCUCCUUGAAUAAAUGGACCAGCUGUGAAAAGAAGAGCCUCAUUCCUGUUUGUGAUCACUUUAUAUCCCUUCCACUUGACCCUCUGAGCGGUAUUUGCGCCUGGAC
This 1468-nucleotide long non-coding RNA is filed under the name Panax ginseng (ginseng). Its description in RNAcentral is "long non-coding RNA (PGIN_LNC008625)". The record is from RNAcentral. Lineage: Eukaryota; Viridiplantae; Streptophyta; Magnoliopsida; Apiales; Araliaceae.